Centropristis striata (black sea bass) is the source of this 902-nucleotide long non-coding RNA. RefSeq lists it as uncharacterized. The transcript has 5 exons. The record is from RefSeq and is a predicted model, not a curated record. Lineage: Eukaryota; Metazoa; Chordata; Actinopteri; Perciformes; Serranidae.
CUUUGAAUUAACUUUAUUCAUAAUAAAGGAAGCUGUCAAAGCACGUUAGCUACCUGUGUUGGACCUUUCACUCUCAUUAAACCCUCUUCUAGUGAAAGUAAAAACUGAAAUGGUGAACGGACAGUUGAGAGACCGUAGUCUACGGUUUGAAAUAAAGAACUUAUGUGUUUGUUUUUCCGUUAGCUAGUUGUUGUUAUGUUAGCAAAUUUUACCGUGAGUCAGUCAGUUCUGACCCUCAACAGUUGUCAGUAAUCCCAGGUAAACUCACCUGUGUUUGGUGUCGUUUGUUUUGCUUGUGGAGAUGGAAGACAAGAUGAAGGUAUCAGUGGACUUCUUAACAGCUUCUUAACAGCAGUGGACUCCAUUGACCGCACCUAACGUCAAGCUAGAGGGUGUGGGCCCUUAGGAGUGUCGCUUCCAGCCACACAGCAAACUACCCCAUCCCCGACAAACAACAAGUGAACCAGAGAUCUCGCCCUGUCCCAAUGCACUAGACACUUACAGCUCCAACACUGGGCAAAGCACUCCACUGCAGGAAGACGCGGGAGGUCUUUUUCACUUCUGCAGGUGGUGUGAAUGCUAUUGCCACACCUUCUGGAGCAGCGUGCCUGUAUCCAAAGCAAAGCUUUUGCAGCUGGGCUGCCCUGCCUCACUUGGAUGCAUCAACAAAGCUUGAAGUGGCCACUCUAAUCUGAGAUAAGACUGUGAGAGACUUCUUUUAUCAUCAACUUGCCUAACAGAUGGUUUCGAGGGAGAAAAAAAGAAUAUAAUCACAAUACCAACAUUUUUGUUGUAUUGAAGAUUUUCUCCCAUUGGAUCUUUAGGGCAGAUUGUCUCCAUUUUUCAAUGUGUCUAAACCCUUUGUUUGAGAGAGAUCUGUUAAAUCUGUCUUGCUGCUAAUA